GUGGGGUGUAAUUCAAAUAUCAUUUAAGGGAGACUACAGUCCAUUAAGUUCCAUUUCCUCAUACAACUUAACUGACGAAUGGAAGGAACCCAUUUCUCUAAUGCAUUUCUACCACUUCCAUUUCGUAUCAUCACUGCAUCUAAAAGAAGAAAAAAUCCAUAUAUUAGCCAGAAGGAGGACUUGCGAUCGCAAAAUUAGCUGUCUCUCUGCUGUUAAAUUUUCCGUCCUCGUAAACUUCACGUUUUUUUUCUUUCUUUCUUUUUCUUACUUAAAGCCUUGGCAAAGUCAGUCUACAUUCCAUUCCCUUCAAACUACAUUCACACAAUCUCAAGGUAAAAAGUAUAAUAAUAUUUACUCAGCAGAGAAA
Penaeus monodon (black tiger shrimp) is the source of this 367-nucleotide long non-coding RNA. RefSeq lists it as uncharacterized. NCBI's taxonomy places the organism in Eukaryota, Metazoa, Arthropoda, Malacostraca, Decapoda, Penaeidae. The transcript is spliced from 2 exons. The record is from RefSeq and is a predicted model, not a curated record.